This 56-nucleotide transfer RNA is filed under the name Biomphalaria glabrata. It matches the Rfam family "tRNA", at positions 9 to 63 of the family's 71-position model. From Rfam's summary of the family: Transfer RNA (tRNA) molecules are approximately 80 nucleotides in length. Their secondary structure includes four short double-helical elements and three loops (D, anti-codon, and T loops). The record is from Rfam by way of RNAcentral. Lineage: Eukaryota; Metazoa; Mollusca; Gastropoda; Planorbidae.
GGCUGUGCGGUAAAGCGCUGGACUUCCGAACCAGUUGUUCCGGGUUCGAAUCCUGG